CCAUUGCAGCAUAUUUUUUAGUAUUGAUGAUGCUAAAACUAGCAAUAUAACUUCUUAGCAUCAUCAAUAUCAUUGCUCUUAGAAUGUGAAAAUAGUUACCUUUAUAUCAUGAUUUGGCAUUUUCUAACAUGCAUCAGUGAUACUUUGAGCUUUUGCAUGAAGAUAAUGCCCCUUACAGCCCUUUUGAGGUGAACCAAAACAUUUUAAAUUUGAGGUUAUGUUCUUUGUGCUAGAAUAUUUUAAUCUUUUUUUUUAUUGUUUAUGUUUUGUUGUUUGUGUGGUAAUAUAUCAAGAUGUUUUGUAAUCAAAAAGUAAAGUUGUACGACUCUGAGUUUGUUGUUUAUUUAUUUUAAAAUGGGUUAUUGAUGGUGAGCUUAUGUAUUGGGUUAAUUGUGUGAUUGGUUU
Quercus robur (English oak) is the source of this 405-nucleotide long non-coding RNA. RefSeq lists it as uncharacterized. NCBI's taxonomy places the organism in Eukaryota, Viridiplantae, Streptophyta, Magnoliopsida, Fagales, Fagaceae. The record is from RefSeq and is a predicted model, not a curated record. The transcript is spliced from 2 exons.